AUUUUAGCAAAAAUAUUUCCUCUACACACUAGUAAUAAUGCUGCCAGUGUGUAGAGGAAAUAUUUUUGCUAAAAU
This is a non-coding RNA of Pelobates cultripes (western spadefoot toad), 75 nucleotides long. Lineage: Eukaryota; Metazoa; Chordata; Amphibia; Anura; Pelobatidae. The record is from the annotation of a GenBank genome assembly.